Gadus macrocephalus (Pacific cod) is the source of this 3265-nucleotide long non-coding RNA. RefSeq lists it as uncharacterized. Lineage: Eukaryota; Metazoa; Chordata; Actinopteri; Gadiformes; Gadidae. The transcript is spliced from 4 exons. The record is from RefSeq and is a predicted model, not a curated record.
UCUGAAAUUUAAUGCACAACAUGCAAUUUGUCCUUAUCUCAAUUUUUUUAUUUUUUAUUAUUACUACUGGGGUCAGCUUAGCUCAGGAGGUAAAGCAGUUGUCUUGUAACCGUAAGCUUGCUAGUUCGAUCCCCAGCUCCUUCUAGCUGAGUGUUGAUGUGUCCCUGAGCAAGACACUUAACCCUAACUGCUCCUGACGAGCUGGAUGUCGCCUUGCAUGGUUGACUCUGCCGUCGGUGUGUCAAUGUGUGUAUUAACUGAUGUAAGUCGCUUCGGAUAAAAGCGUCUACUAAUUGCCCUAAAUGUAAAUGCACUAUUUAUUGACAAUACUAUUUAUUGUCUCACUCUCACUCUCUCUCUCUCUUUGUAUUAAUACUGUACUAGACUUUGGAAGCCCUGCACAAGAAUUCAUAUGUGUUUGGACUUCGGAAGAAUGUCACUCCAACCUGACAUGUUUUAGGGUCAGUAGAGACCUUUUGAGAAGAACACAAGAAAGAUAAUAGGCCCCCGACCAUUCAGAAAUCACAUGAGUUGAGGGGGAUUUCAGAGGUGUGUGUGUGUGUGUGUGUGAGAUGUGUGUGUGAUGUGUGUGUGAUGUGUGUGUGUGCGUCUCAGGAAGGGCUGGUGGGGAGGGUUCCAUGUAGAUGCUGUUGGUUGUUUUCUCCCCAGCGGGGGGGCGGGCCAGUGUGUUUCUGAAGGGUGCCAUGCCUGCUGGUGAUCAGAGAGGAGAGGGCCAGUGACAUCAUGACAGAUCAUGACAAGUGUGUCACACUGACCCCCACAGAGUUCUCCCUGCUCCAGGACUACGCCCAGUGUAAUGACGAAUAAAAACCCUUGAACCUUUGAACCUUUGAAAAACCAAAAAAAAAGGGUCAGAAAUGCAAAUAACAUGAUUGCACAACUAGCGAAGAGGAUAGCAGAAAUGGACAAUGCAAAAAUUCAUGUCUCACCAGCAGCACUUGGGACAUUUGUGUCAACUAAGAAGAAGAACAUGCCUUUGCCUUGGUAAAGGAAAGAAGGCCAGAAAAGACAUGUGUGUGUGUGAUGUGUACAGUCUCGACGCUUAGGUCAGCUUCUUCACCAGUCCCUGCGACUCAAAACUAAUUGCUGUAACCAUUGCUGUACUGCGCGAUGAAAGAGGGAACCAAAAACAAGAGCUGAUUGAGGAGAAAAAACUGAAGCACAAGGCAGUUUGUCAACCACACAAAAGUGGCUACAUAUUUAUGCCAUUGCUUGAUGGCAGUGAAAGGAACUAACCAAUCUAGGACAAGUGACAGAAGAUGAGAGUAAGGCCGCUAAUAGCUGUCACUUUUUUAAUGUUAGAAGUUUUUAGUUAUAAUUUAAUGAUGGUUAUUCCCUUUAACUGUUGGAUAGCAUUGUUCUGCGUUUCCUCUUUUGUUAUUCCCUGUAGACCAGAACAAUGUGGACCACAGCGGUGUGGAGAGAGACCAUGGAGAUGGAUGAAGUAAUACCAUCAUGUUGGGUUAAAAAUGGUGGUGUAUUUUGGCCUACACAAGGAGCUGUGGGAGCGUUGAAGGACUGCAAAGAACCUUAAGAGUCAUGGACGAAAUUCCCGUUAAUAAAAAUUAAGAUUCAGUCAGAUGACAAGAAUGAAUGCGAGAAGUAUGAUUUUACUACAACUGCUGAAUUGAGUGGCUCAGAAGAGGACUUACCGAUGAAGAGGAGGCCAAAAUAAUACAUAUAUCCAGACUACCAAAUGGAUAUAUUUAGAUGAACCAUCUGUCAAUGAAGACAGUCAAAAAUUAUCUUCUCCAGAUCUUAUGAUAACGAGUACAGGUAUGUAAUAGAUUGGUUUUCACAUUUAUUUUCAUACCUGUCACAAUAAUGAGGUUGGAGCAGGGUUUUCUAACUUUUUUGUCAAUUCAAACUAAUGCAGUCAACACAGGUAGGCCUAAUUGUUUGAAAGAUGACUACUGUCUUACAGAAUGCUUAUUACUCAUUUUAGGUGAAAAGGCUACCAAGAAGAUUCGAAAAUGUAUUCCUUGUGAAGGUAUAUGUUAAUUUACAGGAACCAAUGCACUGAAAGCAAUGGCUACAUGGCCCCAAUGACUACAUCAUUGUUACAUUGUUUUUUUUUAGAGUAAAUCAACAAAAGGGUCUCCUUGUACACAGCCCGUGUGAUUGUCAGGUCGGGUUAGUAGUAGGAACAUUUAAAGUAAAACAGUGAAAUAGACCACUGCAUGCUGACAAACUUUAGAGAAUCUUUGUGAGCAAGCAACACGUUUCGCCUGUAGCUCCCUCUGAUUGUUGCUCACUCAGAACAAAGAUUCAGUAAGAGUCAAGCCAAGAAAAGAUUAACAAAAGUUAUGUGCGUUAAGAACACAUCAUUGCAGCAUUUAAUACACCACCGUGGCUAUGUCAGUAUCGGGCCAAUUAGUCACUACACUUCACUUUUUAUUACAGCUGACUUUGUUCUUCCAACACCUCCCAAAAUGACAAAUGCACAUUCUGGUAAAUAUUGCACAACUACCAACACAAUGAAAAGACACCGCAUCCUGCAAAUACAAUUAAUGAGAAUCAAGCCAAGAAAAGACUAACAAAAGAUUACUUUGUUCUUCCAACUCCUCCAAAAAUGACAGGUGCACACCUACCAGUUUGGUAGGUGAUUGUGUGAAACCAGUUUUGUUUUUGAUUGGGUAUCACAUAUUUUGAAGUUUAGUAUGCCAUACCAGAAUUGAAAGGUUACAACUUAAAUUGAAUGCCACAAAAUAUACAUUUCAAUUGUCUUUUAUGUUAAGGUAAACUGUUAAUGUUGCUUAUGUUGACUAACCAAAUACGUGUAAAGUAAUUUUGAAUUAUUGACACAUUAACUCUUCCCAGUGUCUAAACCCUCUAAAACCGCAGAAAGAACACAAAUGGACAUCCCCUCAAGCCCUCAAUCUCGAUCCUUGGCGCGCAGUGGUAGCAGUAGUCCCUCUGAGUCUUUUUCUAAUGGUCGAAGGUAUUUAAUGAAGUACAAUAUUGUCAGUAUAACUGAAGCACUGUAAAGCUGCCUAGUGUGCACUACAAGUCUUCCGGAUGUAAGAAAAUGUCACAUGUUCAUAAUAUUACUUUUUUUCUAGUAAAAAUAGAAAUUGCGACACAAAAUGAUAAUUUCCACUACUUAGAAUUAUACUUUCCCUUCUUUAUUUUUUUAAACCAGAUUCUUCAUCCCUGGACAAGAGAGUCUGUCCAGAUCCCUUUCUCAGAAACAGCGUUGAGGUUCCUCACGGUCUUCCACUCAUGGAUGGAGGUAUUUGAUCAU